Molecule: long non-coding RNA, 1894 nt
Organism: Carassius gibelio (silver crucian carp)
Lineage: Eukaryota; Metazoa; Chordata; Actinopteri; Cypriniformes; Cyprinidae
Exons: 2
Source: RefSeq, a predicted model, not a curated record
AAGCUAUAAUGGUGAUGGCAAGAGAGUGGUGGAUAAAAAAACAACGGUAUGUCGCAUCUGCAACAUGACAGGGUACACCAGCGGGAAUAAAAAAAAAAAAAAAAAAAACACCAGCGGGAAUAUCUGGGAUAUAUGCGUCAGUACUAUCUGGGAAAAGACGAAAAAAAGGAGAAACAUGCACGCAGCAAACUAUCCCUGCAGCAUUUAGAAACUAUAGCUUACAGGGAAUCCAACCCAAACACCAGACCUGUUGGUUAUUUUAGGAUCUUAUAUUUCUGGUCUGUUAAAGGCAUUCGACAUUUUGCAACGAGCCUUCAGCGCGUGCUGAGUGAGCGAGCGCCUUAGGGGCCGUUCACAUAUCGUGCCUAAAAACGCAUGGAAAACGCUAAGCGCGUCUUUCUCCUCCUUUCCAAAGCGCUUGGGCAGAAGCGCUCAUGAGGCGUCUGUCUUUGCUAAGCAACAAUGACGUGCUCUCUCCAUGAGACGCGGAAAUUUCAGCGAAGGAUAAAUGGAUUUGCAGCUCUAAAAAUCGCUUGCAGUAGCUCUGCUACUAAAUUUAUUUCAAAAUUGCAAUCCAUAUACAACUAUGAUCAGCUGAUCCUUCAUCUUGGCUGAGCUCUCAACGUUGUUACGGGAAAGGAUGAAGCUGAUUGGUUAGUUCUUGUCACAUGACCCGCGGUGCGCUUGCGGCAUUCUGAAAAGUUGAGAUGUUUUUACAUUUUGCUGUAUCUAAAACGUAUCGAACCGAACCGAACCGUGACAUCAGUGUAUCGUAUCGAACCGAACCGUGAAUUUUGUGAACCGUUACACCCCUAAUAUAUAUAUAUAUAUAUAUUUAGUAACACUUUACAAUAAGAUUUCAUUUAUAAACAUUAUGUUAACAUGAACAAUAUUUAUAUAGCAUUCAUUCAUGUCAGUUAAUAUUCCAAACUUAAACAUUAAAACAUUGUUUUAUUGUGAUUUUUUUUCCAAGCACAUUUUACCAAUUCCAAGCCAUAUCAAUCUUAAUAACUACCAUUAUUUUUUAUUUAAUCAUUUAUGAGUGCUAUACAAUAUUCCAGGAAAGCUGGAAGAGAAAAACUCCUUAUAUUCAUGUGCAGAAUUAUUAGGCAUGUUUUCUUUUACAGAUGAAAUGCGCUAAAAAAGAGUUUUAACUCAAACUGUUUUAACUCAAAGUCGAAAAUUAUGAAAUACCCAUGAGAAAUAUCAAACACAAAUGCAAUACAGAAAUAGAUAAGUUAAGACGUGACCAUUGUACAAAAAUGCUGACUGGGUCAUGAGGUCAGAAAAGAAGAAGAAAAAAAAACAGGUCAAGAAGAACUGACAAAAAUAAUUGCAAAAUAAUUAGGAAUUAAUGUGAAGAUUAAUUUUUAGUCAAUUCUGCAAGACAGACUUUCAGGAAAGGAGGUGGAAUAAAAAUGAGCUCCUAAAUCUUAAUCCCGGAUUCUGGAAGAUAUAUUCCUCAAACCAUCGGACAAGAGGAGGUGGUGCUGGUCCUUCACGAGUCACUCUAAUCUGUUCAUUAAGCCUAUAUAUAAAGUCUUAAUAUAUAGUAUUUCACAAUACUUCAUGGUAUUCUAAUUAAAUAAUUUUUUGGAAUCUUAGAUCUCUCAGAACCUGACACAUUGUAAUUCUGAGACUCCAGGAAAGUGGCAGUUCUGUAAAAUGUUGGCGCUGGAGACUAAAUGCUCACUGAUAGUUUCACACCUAAUUCACUUAAAACACACACAAACACACACACACAGUGACAGAGGGACAGAGUGACAUCAGAUGUAUGUUUUUUAAUUUUCUGUCAUCCAUAUAAUGUUGUAUAGUCAUGAAACUAUGCAUAUUUCCUCAGAAUGACUUGUCUUCUAUGUGUACAUUUUUUUGAAGUGUUUAGAAGCUGCACUUU